Molecule: long non-coding RNA, 3821 nt
Organism: Chlorocebus sabaeus (green monkey)
Lineage: Eukaryota; Metazoa; Chordata; Mammalia; Primates; Cercopithecidae
Source: RefSeq, a predicted model, not a curated record
GCUUCGGCAUCCCAAAGUGCUGGGAUUAUAGAUGUGAGCCACUGUGCCCGGCCUAGUGUGGUUUUUAAUUAGUACAGUUUACUUGAUAGUUUCAAAGUACUUUUUUUUUUUUUUUUGUGAGACAGGCCUCACUGCAUUGCCCAGGCUAGAGUGCAGUGGUGUGAUGACUGAGGCUCACUACAGCUUGGAUUUCUCAAGCUCAGGUGAUCCUCCCACCUCAGCCUCUCACAGGUGCGCACCACAAGGCUCAGCUACUUUUUUGUAUUUUUUUUGUAGAGGGUUUUGCCAUGUUGCCCAGGCUGGUCUCGAACUCCUGCACUCAAGUGAUCUGCCUGCCUCAGUCUCCCAGAGUGCUGGGAUUACAGCUCUGACUCAGAUUUUGAAUGGACGUUUGUAUGUAUACCACAGUGCUACAGUAAAAACGAGUCAUGUGGAUGUGGAAAAGGGGGCUGAUCAGGACUCCCUGUUUGCUAACAAAUUCUACAGCAGAAACAAAGUAUUAAGGUUUGGAGCCAGGAAGCAAGUGCAUGGGGAAUAAGCCUGCAGCCUCUUCCAAAUGAGACAGAGCCAAAUCUUUUAGAUAUCUCUCUGAGUCUAUUUUCUUCAUUUCUAUUAAACUAAGGUCCUUUUUAAGCAGUCGAAUUGUCAUCCAAAGCCAGAGUGAGCUACUUUGUUUGGGGGAACAGUAACAGUUACCUCCACCACUGACUGGCUGCCAUCUGGAUUGAUCCGGAAAGAUCCCAUCUGAAUAGUCUUCUUGGGGUCCACCUGGGCAAUUUCCCAUUCUAGUUCAUCCACCAGAGCCCUGCACGCUGGUGGAAGAGGAGAGAAUGGGAGCAGGGGAGAGGGUGGGGGUAGGGUGUGAGGAGAAUGGGAUCAACCCAGGAUUUUCAUUCCUCCUUCUCCCAGGCCUUGGAUCUCAUGCCCUCCCAAGGCUCUGCUUCCUCCACUUCUUUUUCCUGUUGUGCCUUUACCUCCACAGUGGAGAUCCUGGCUCCUCCGAGCCCAGGCAGUUCCCAGCAGGGCCCCCAGAAGCAGGGCCAGCCAACCCCAGCCUUUCAUCUUUAGCGUAAUGGGGUCGCUCCACCUGGGUUUGUGUGGGAAUAAAACAAGGGUGAGAAGCCGACUCCAUUUUUCCCUGACCCCCCCACUCCUCACCCCAAGGCUUUAAAAGGCUUCACUGUGACUCUGGCUCUACUUUCCAGGAAAUGGCCGGGACACAAAGGGGCUUCUCUGUUCCAGCGCUUGAGGGCUCUGAUUCCCCCAGGGCGGUAGGUGGGAGCGCGAGCUCAGGACUUGGGGCUCAGUCCCAGACUCUACGUGGAAAGGUGAGGCCCUAGGUGUUGGUACUUUAGCACUGCAUGCCUAGGGUUCACGGGGCUUUGUGGCAGCUACAGGAGGUAAGUUGGCAAUUACGCGAGGACUACAGGCACUAGGGAAAUGCCAGCAGGGAGCCCUCAGUCAGGCCAGGAGGCCAGCAUUCAAUAAUUAGGGCCCAUUUGGAUCCCGCACCGAAGAUUCCUGCGUCCCCAUCUCCAGCCCGUAAGUUGAUUAUCCUUACGGACCUCAGCCCCCUUUCUAAGGACUCCGCCAUUGCUUUCGCUCCAGUCCAUCCCCAACCCUCAGCGCCCAGCGCCUCGCCGCUCGCAUCCGUCCCACCUCUGCUCCCAGGGCCGCUGCCGUGGCCCAAGCGCUGGAAGACCGCUGGACUCUCACUUUGGCCCCAGUGGCUCCCGAAACUACAGCUGGCUGCGGGGAGCAGGGCUGUCCGGAAUCCUCCAGAGCGCUUCGCCGCUUGCCACACACGGGGUGUCCCGGCGACCGCCUGACCCAGAUCCCGUGGCGCUAACUGGUACCUAGCGGGGCUCGAGCGUGCUGCGGUGCGAGCCCCAAUCAGACACCGACCCCAAACCCGCCCCUCCAAACUCUCGCGCGAACAGGCAGCUUGGGAGAGGCUCCUGGACAGCAAGGACCCCGGUCAAUCGCUGAAGGACCCAGACUUGCGUGGCGAACAGCUCCACGUGACCUCCAGGGGUCAGCCGUAGAAUAGGAGUGGCCUUAAGAGACGACGGAGGCCGGGUGUACUGUAUGGGAGCGGCUAGUCGUGCGCGUGAGCCAACUCAGGUGGGCUAGGACCUUCAAAACGGUGCUCUGCAGGCCAGCGAGCAGCCCAGGUUUCAAUACACAGGAAACUACAUCUCCCAGGAAGCACCGCAGCACCAGACCCAUCUUUGUGAGCAACUACAGGUCUCAAGCUAUCCUGGGACCUGUAGUUUGUCGGCUUACACAAUUAACGGGGAAACCGUACUGUACAUCUUCAGUCUGACGUAGGGUACUGGGCAGCUACAGCAGAGACCCAGCAUUGCCCAGAAAAGGCAUAAUUAUACCUUUUUUUUCCUUUUGUUGAGACGGAGUCUCGCCCUAUUGCCCAGGCUGGCGUACAGUGGCGUAAUCUUGGCGCACUGCAACCUCCGUCUCCCGGGUUCGAGCAAUUCUCUGCCUUAGCUAGGAUUACAGUCGCCACCCACCACGCCCAGCUAAUUUUUGUAUUUUUAGUAGAGACGGGGGUUUCACCAUCUUCGUCACGCUGGUCUUGAACUCCUGACCUGAUCCACCCACCUCGGCCUCCCAAAGUGCUGGGAUUACAGAAGUGACCCACUGCGCCUGGCCUAAUUAUACCCUUUCAUAUCCAUAACUUUGGAUUCCGGACCUUUACCUUCAAAGGAAGGAGAGGAAGACUGAAGCCAGAGAACCCACACUAGCAGUUCCCUAAUGAGAUAAAUGACAAACGGUAUUUUGUUUUUAUUUUAUAAAACAUGCAGUUUACAACAAAUUUUUAAAAAACGGAACAAAACUUGGGACAGGAGAGUGGAUGGAAGACAGAUGCUUCUCAGCCAUCAGCAGGAAUAAAUGAAGCCAGCAGCCAAGCUUUGUCCAGGAUCCAAAGGCCCUUUUGGCAAUGGUAUUGGCAACACUGGUUUGUUUGGGCCACCAACACUCUACUUGCUGGCCCCUCCAGGCAUCCCUGAAGCAGUUGGUGACUUGUGCUGUCUUGAACUACCGUGGUAUCCUCUGUCGCUGUCCAGGACUUCAAUCCCUAGCCAGCUAGGAACUGACAAUUAUGGUUCCAGGAGCUUCUCUGCCUGGAUAUUAGUGACCCAGGAUAUUAAGAAUACCAAUUACUUUCCAUCUGGGUCAAUUCUAGACUCUGUUUCUGUGCCACUGUUUUGCAAAGGAUGAAGGAGGAAUGAAUCUGGCUCCUAGAACCUUUGCAACAAUUCUGCUGUGUUCCAGUUCUAUUAAUAGCACCAUCUGAGACUCUAGACCCUGAGCACGUCCAGUACUGGAAGUGGACAAGGUAUAGCCAACUAAGGAAGCCAUCUCCCAGUUCUGGGGCUAUAGAACAGUAAAGGGAGAGGGCAGUGGUUCUUUGGGAAGGGUAGUCAGAGCGCCAGCACUGAGGAGAAGACAGCUGCAUCUGUCAGAGACAAAACCAAAAGCAUGAUUCAAGCUGAGUAGAGAAAAAAGCAUCUUCUCAUUACUUCCUAUGAAGGAAAAAUGCAAGAGAAAAAAGGGCAUGGACCUUCCCUGAACAUUUUAGACUUGGGCAAGAGGAAGUUAUAGUUAAUGGAGAGUUUUGAUAAAAUGUAUUUCACUGAAUGUUAGGAGGAUGAAGUGCUUUGUAAACUGUGAAGUGCUAUUCUCCAUAUGUGCAAUCAAAAUCCACCCAGUUGGGGGCGCUGGGCUCAUGCCUGUAAUCCCAGCACUUUGUGAGCCCAAGGUGGAUGGAUCGCUUGAGCCCAGGAGUUUAAGACCAGCCU